This is a long non-coding RNA of Meriones unguiculatus (Mongolian gerbil), 2091 nucleotides long. RefSeq lists it as uncharacterized. Lineage: Eukaryota; Metazoa; Chordata; Mammalia; Rodentia; Muridae. The record is from RefSeq and is a predicted model, not a curated record. The transcript is spliced from 5 exons.
ACGAGCUGUUUGCUCCACUAAAGAAAUAUGUAGGCCUUAGGUGUUGUUGUCCAUUUCUAUCUUACGAUGGGAAUUUGUGUUCAUGCAAAAAUUUUGUUUUUUAUUUGUUUUGGAUGCCACUAGGCUUGGCGAAAGUGCAGUUAGUGGCCGCGCGCCAACUUCCGCUGCAGCUGGAGAAACCAUAAGGUGACCAUGCCUCCUGAUACAAAGAGAAGCUUUGACACUGUCAUCUGAUCCAUCAGCUGUCACCUUUGCUGUCUGGACAGUGUCAGCUGUGGGACAUCAUCACAUAGUGAAAAUUGUUCCUCGUCUUGUCAAGACCGUCUCCCCUCUUCCCUGAGGAAGUUCACAGCUGGGCCCGCAACCGCACAUCUGCCCAUCUGAGUUCAUCUUCCGUGCUGUGUGAGAUCUGCUGGAGGCAGCAGAGGGCCUUGCGACAUUGGCAAGGAUGGCACUGGACACACGUGAUUGGCAGGGAGAGGAGAGGAUGGCAUGUCUGAGAUGAACACUGGAGAGCCUUCUGUGUCCUUGUGCUUCUGUCCUGCAGAUGGAGGCCCCGCCCUGCACACAGACCAGCGAUCAGCUCCCUGGUUCUGCAGAGAGAGCAGCAGUUCUUCAGUAUGAGAAUGCCAUUUCCAACCCCUCUUUGCCUGAAAAGCCCAAUUAUGGCUCCUCAGGUUGCUCCAGACCGUGACAAUCCCCAGACCCCCAGCAAGAGCUGGGCAGAGUGAAGACUGAAGGCAAGCAGGAACAGCACUGGGCCUCCAAGCCUAAGACAGAGGAGCUGGGCCUCUAACUCAGAGGACCUGGCCCUGACCUUGGCCCAGACAGCACCCAGACCAGUCCAAAACAGCCUGGAACCCUACAAUCCUGCAAAGUGCUAGAACCUGAAGGCCAUCUGAGGUGUGGUGGCCACUGGAGUAUCCACAACUCCAAGGAAAAACUGUGUUGGGGUUGGUGACUCCUUCCUGGGGCCAGAAACACAGAUGCCAGCACCACCAUGAGAUGGAGAGAGUCCAUGGCCUGUGCUGACAGCAAGGACAGUAUGGUCCCUCCUGGCCUAGUCGCCCUUCACUUCUUCACUCCUUCCCCCAUCUCAGUGAGUGACGGAGAUGAUCUCUGUAUUAACUGCUAUUAUUUAUCAUGUGUUUGCUUGCCAGGCCAUUGGCCAGAGGGAAGAGACUUUUCACCACACAUCAUCUUUAGCAGUUGAACAAAACUGACCUCAGACCUUCUGUGAAAACAGCCUCCAAAUGUAUCAAGGGCAUUACGUGGAAUGCAAGAUUGUGAUUUCUCAGAGGGGGAAAGGAGCCAUUUUUUUGUGACCUUGGCAUAGGGGAAGCUGAAAGCACAAGCUACAGAGAAAAGAAAAGUCGGUCGAUUUCAUCAAAGUUAAAAUCCUUCAUGCUGCAGAAGGCACUGUUGAGAGAGUGACAGGCCAGCCGCAGCUGGGCAGGAAGCAUCUGCAAUUCAUAUGUGACAAUGCACUUGUGUGCAGAACACAAAAAUAAGCUCAGACUCAAUGACGGCCAAACAAAGACCCCAGUGUUCUUUAACCCGACCAAAGUUUCACACAGACAUUUUACUCCCUAGAGUACAAGUAACAAAUACACAAGAGAAGAAACAUUCAACCUCACGAGUUACGAAGAAAUUGAAGAUGAAGGAAGCAGCAAGCGGUGCCGUACACAUUGAUAGUAUUAAAUGUCAGUCUGGAGAAUCUAGACUCACCUGGUAGAUCUCUGGGCAUACAAAUGGGGGUAAUUCAGACUAUAUCAGUUGAUUUGGGAAGACUUGCCUACCAUGGGUAGCACCAUUCCAUGGCUGGGAUCCUGGACUUGGGAUAAGUGGAGAAAGAAACUUGGCCGGCAGUAUGAAAUAAUUCUUCUCUGUUAUCCCUAAGUGUGGAUGCAACAUGACAAGCCUUCCUCCUGCUCUGAACACUAUACCUUCCCUGCCUGCUUUCAUGGCUUCCUCACCAUGAUGGACUGUGUUCCUCUGUAACUGUAAGUCCCCCCAAGCCUCUUUCUUUCUUAGGUUGCUUUUGUCAUACUACUUUGUCACAGCAGAAAAUAAAUAAGACAGAAACACUCA